Alosa sapidissima (American shad) is the source of this 384-nucleotide long non-coding RNA. RefSeq lists it as uncharacterized. The transcript is spliced from 3 exons. The record is from RefSeq and is a predicted model, not a curated record. NCBI's taxonomy places the organism in Eukaryota, Metazoa, Chordata, Actinopteri, Clupeiformes, Clupeidae.
CUAUGUAGGCAAAAUUUAGGCUAUUUUAAAUUGUUAAAAGUGAGUCUUUCACUGAUUGGACAUCUUUUGAUGACGACACACAAUAAGUUAACGUGGUCCAUACACAUUUUGCAGCUCUUUUUAAGCUUUCUCUUGCGAGGAGGUCUUACUUACGAGUGUUAAUCUGUCUCGGUACGUGGACACUUGGGAAAAGGACCACCUCAGCUACUAAGUAUAGGAGGAUUGCAGGACUAGUACCACACUGUUAUGAUAUUGUCUGUCACCAGAGGGGUAUUUCACAAAGGCAGAAUUAAGCUCCAAGAUAAGUGAUUUAUGUUGCAUUCAGGGCACUUCGGAAUGACAAGGACCGCCCCCAUGGCUACUUUGUUUUUCUGACAGCAAGUG